UACGUAGGGCGCAAGCGUUGUCCGGAAUUAUUGGGCGUAAAGAGCUCGUAGGCGGUUUGUCGCGUCUGUCGUGAAAGCUUGGGGCUUAACCCCAAGUCUGCGGUGGAUACGGGCAGACUAGAGGCAGGUAGGGGAGAACGGAAUUCCCGGUGUAGCGGUGAAAUGCGCAGAUAUCAGGAGGAACACCGGUGGCGAAGGCGGCUUGCUGGGCCAGUUCUGACGCUGAGGAGCGAAAGCGUGGGGAGCGAACAGG
RNAcentral lists this ribosomal RNA (253 nucleotides) under uncultured bacterium. RNAcentral's name for it is "partial 16S ribosomal RNA". It matches the Rfam family "Bacterial small subunit ribosomal RNA", at positions 524 to 776 of the family's 1533-position model. The record is from RNAcentral.